GCCAGGUGCAGUGGCUCACACCUGUAAUCCCAGUGGCUCAGGAGGCUGAGGCAGAAGGAUCAUGAGUUCAAAACCAGUCUUAGCAAUGGCAAGGCAGUAAGCAACUCAGUGAGACCCUGUCUCUA
This 125-nucleotide small RNA is filed under the name Marmota monax (woodchuck). Lineage: Eukaryota; Metazoa; Chordata; Mammalia; Rodentia; Sciuridae. The record is from RNAcentral.